This 68-nucleotide transfer RNA is filed under the name Vespertilio murinus (particolored bat). RNAcentral describes it as "tRNA-Cys". It matches the Rfam family "tRNA". From Rfam's summary of the family: Transfer RNA (tRNA) molecules are approximately 80 nucleotides in length. Their secondary structure includes four short double-helical elements and three loops (D, anti-codon, and T loops). Lineage: Eukaryota; Metazoa; Chordata; Mammalia; Chiroptera; Vespertilionidae. The record is from RNAcentral.
AGCCUUGUGGUGUAAAAAACAUGUUGAAUUGCAAAUUCAAAGAAGCAGCUUCAAUCCUGCCCCGGCUU